Molecule: long non-coding RNA, 451 nt
Filed under: Nicotiana tabacum (common tobacco)
Lineage: Eukaryota; Viridiplantae; Streptophyta; Magnoliopsida; Solanales; Solanaceae
Description: long non-coding RNA (NTAB_LNC011148)
Source: RNAcentral
CUACACUCCUCCAAAAGACACUCCCAAAAGACAAUUACCUACAAAAUCAAUAACCACAAAAAAACCAGUAGAGCCAUCGUUUCCAUCAGUUAUCUUCAAUGCAUUUGACGAUUUCGUGAACACUUUCAUUGAUCCUCCUUUGAAACCUUGUGUCGAUCCAAAGUAUAUUCUCUCUAACAACUUUGCUCCGGUGGAUGAGCUUCCCCCCACUGAAUGCGAGGUCGUGGUAGGCUCCCUUCCUCCUUGCCUUGACGGCGCGUACAUCCGAAAUGGCCCCAAUCCUCAGUAUCUUCCACGUGGACCUUACCAUCUUUUUGAUGGAGAUGGAAUGCUUCAUUCCAUUAAAAUUUCUCAAAGCAAAGCUACACUCUGCAGCCGAUACGUCAAAACUUACAAAUACACAAUUGAACGUGAAGCUGGUUCUCCGGUUUUCCCAAAUGUAUUCUCCGGU